RNAcentral lists this ribosomal RNA (336 nucleotides) under Triticum aestivum (bread wheat). Its description in RNAcentral is "partial small subunit ribosomal RNA". Lineage: Eukaryota; Viridiplantae; Streptophyta; Magnoliopsida; Poales; Poaceae. The record is from RNAcentral.
AUGGACCUUGGGCGCCUGAACUAUGGGAUCAUUACCCUCAUCCCAAAGGUUCCUGGGGCCUCGGACAUCCGCCAGUUCCGCCCGAUCACCGUGAUUAACGUGAUCUUCAGGAUCCUGGCCAAAGGGUACGCCAAUAGGGUGACCCUUCUUGCGGACUCUGUCACCCACCCCAACCAAUCCGCCUUCAUCCAAGGCCGAUUUAUUUUGGAUGGGGUGUUGGUCUUUCACGAAGUCCUCCAUGAAGUUCGAUCCAAGCACCACCGCGCAGUGUUCCUUAAGCUCGACUUUCACAAGGCCUACGACACGGUCCACUGGCCCUUCCUUCGGGAAGUAUUG